GACCAUGUUAUAUAGGUAUGUUACUGGUGUGUUAUAGAUCAUGUUAUAUAGGUAUGUUACUGGUGUGUUAUAGACCAUGUUAUAUAGGUAUGUUACUGAUGUGUUAUAGACCAUGUUAUAUAGGUAUGUUACUGGUGUGUUAUAGACCAUGUUAUAUAGGUACAGUAUGUUACUGGUGUGUUAUAGACCAUGUUAUAUAGGUAUGUUACUGGUGUGUUAUAGAUCAUGUUAUAUAGGUACAGUAUGUUACUGGUGUGUUAUAGACCAUGUUAUAUAGGUACAGUAUGUUACUGGUGUGUUAUAGACCAUGUUAUAUAGGUAUGUUACUGGUGUGUUAUAGAUCAUGUUAUAUAGGUAUGUUACUGGUGUGUUAUAGACCAUGUUAUAUAGGUAUGUUAC
RNAcentral lists this long non-coding RNA (399 nucleotides) under Salmo salar (Atlantic salmon). RNAcentral's name for it is "lncRNA (ENSSSAG00000091661.1)". The record is from RNAcentral. Lineage: Eukaryota; Metazoa; Chordata; Actinopteri; Salmoniformes; Salmonidae.